RNAcentral lists this ribosomal RNA (497 nucleotides) under uncultured bacterium. RNAcentral describes it as "partial 16S ribosomal RNA". It matches the Rfam family "Bacterial small subunit ribosomal RNA", at positions 28 to 507 of the family's 1533-position model. The record is from RNAcentral.
GACGAACGCUGGCGGCGUGCCUAAUACAUGCAAGUUGAGCGCUGAAGGUUGGUACUUGUACCGACUGGAUGAGCAGCGAACGGGUGAGUAACGCGUGGGGAAUCUGCCUUUGAGCGGGGGACAACAUUUGGAAACGAAUGCUAAUACCGCAUAAAAACUUUAAACACAAGUUUUAAGUUUGAAAGAUGCAAUUGCAUCACUCAAAGAUGAUCCCGCGUUGUAUUAGCUAGUUGGUGAGGUAAAGGCUCACCAAGGCGAUGAUACAUAGCCGACCUGAGAGGGUGAUCGGCCACAUUGGGACUGAGACACGGCCCAAACUCCUACGGGAGGCAGCAGUAGGGAAUCUUCGGCAAUGGACGAAAGUCUGACCGAGCAACGCCGCGUGAGUGAAGAAGGUUUUCGGAUCGUAAAACUCUGUUGGUAGAGAAGAACGUUGGUGUGAGUGGAAAGCUCAUCAAGUGACGGUAACUACCCAGAAAGGGACGGCUAACUACGUG